RNAcentral lists this ribosomal RNA (253 nucleotides) under uncultured bacterium. RNAcentral describes it as "partial 16S ribosomal RNA". It matches the Rfam family "Bacterial small subunit ribosomal RNA", at positions 524 to 776 of the family's 1533-position model. The record is from RNAcentral.
UACGUAGGGAGCAAGCGUUAUCCGGAUUUACUGGGUGUAAAGGGCGCGCAGGCGGACUGGCAAGUCAGAAGUGAAAUCUGAGGGCUCAACCCUCAAACUGCUUUUGAAACUACUGGUCUUGAGUGAUGGAGAGGCAGGCGGAAUUCCCAGUGUUGCGGUGAAAUGCGUAGAUAUUGGGAGGAACACCAGAGGCGAAGGCGGCCUGCUGGACAUUAACUGACGCUGAGGCGCGAAAGCGUGGGGAGCAAACAGG